Molecule: ribosomal RNA, 442 nt
Filed under: Photobacterium rosenbergii
Lineage: Bacteria; Pseudomonadati; Pseudomonadota; Gammaproteobacteria; Vibrionales; Vibrionaceae
Description: bacterial SSU rRNA
Rfam family: Bacterial small subunit ribosomal RNA
Source: RNAcentral
GCGACAUAAACAAUGCCUUCGGGUGCGUUUAUGGGCGGCGAGCGGCGGACGGGUGAGUAAUGCCUGGGAAUAUGCCCUGAUGUGGGGGAUAACCAUUGGAAACGAUGGCUAAUACCGCAUAAUCUCUUCGGAGCAAAGAGGGGGACCUUCGGGCCUCUCGCGUCAGGAUUAGCCCAGGUGAGAUUAGCUAGUUGGUGAGGUAAGAGCUCACCAAGGCGACGAUCUCUAGCUGGUCUGAGAGGAUGAUCAGCCACACUGGAACUGAGACACGGUCCAGACUCCUACGGGAGGCAGCAGUGGGGAAUAUUGCACAAUGGGGGAAACCCUGAUGCAGCCAUGCCGCGUGUGUGAAGAAGGCCUUCGGGUUGUAAAGCACUUUCAGUCGUGAGGAAGGCAUAUGCGUUAAUAGCGCAUGUGUUUGACGUUAGCGACAGAAGAAGCA